UACGGGGGUAGCAAGCGUUGUUCGGAUUUACUGGGCGUAAAGGGCGCGUAGGCGGUCAGCACAAGUCAGUUGUGAAAUCUCCGAGCUUAACUCGGAAAGGUCAACUGAUACUGUGCGACUAGAGUGCAGAAGGGGCAACUGGAAUUCUUGGUGUAGCGGUGAAAUGCGUAGAUAUCAAGAGGAACACCUGAGGCGAAGGCGGGUUGCUGGGCUGACACUGACGCUGAAGCGUGAGAGCCAGGGGAGCGAACGGG
This 254-nucleotide ribosomal RNA is filed under the name uncultured bacterium. Its description in RNAcentral is "partial 16S ribosomal RNA". It matches the Rfam family "Bacterial small subunit ribosomal RNA", at positions 524 to 776 of the family's 1533-position model. The record is from RNAcentral.